RNAcentral lists this transfer RNA (73 nucleotides) under Caulobacteraceae bacterium. Its description in RNAcentral is "tRNA-Lys". It matches the Rfam family "tRNA". From Rfam's summary of the family: Transfer RNA (tRNA) molecules are approximately 80 nucleotides in length. Their secondary structure includes four short double-helical elements and three loops (D, anti-codon, and T loops). Lineage: Bacteria; Pseudomonadati; Pseudomonadota; Alphaproteobacteria; Caulobacterales; Caulobacteraceae. The record is from RNAcentral.
GGAUCGUUAGCUCAAUUGGUAGAGCAGUUGGCUUUUAACCAAUAGGUUGCUGGUUCGAGUCCAGCACGAUCCA